UUAAUCUUCCCUGCAGUAAUCUGUACCUCUCAGCUUUUACACAUUCAGCACCUGGGGCAGAUUUGACCUGACAAGUUUGUCCUUGAAUCCUAUCAUUUACAAAGCCCACAUUCAAAAAAACUCUCAUGUAUUAUCAGUGCUGCUGUGUUUUAUCAAAUAACUGCCACCAGCUCCUGCCUGAAAUAGUUCAUUUGCAAAGCUGUUACCACCAAACUGUGGAAACCAACCAUCAGUCAAGGGCUUGUUUUGGUGCCUUUUUCAUAGCGAGAGCAAAUGAACUGCAGAUGGAGCACUGUUUAUACUUUCCCAUCAUCUCAGAGUGCCGGGAGCUGUCGCUGUGAUGUCACUGCAGUUGGGCAGGACACAGAGAAGGCAGCAAGAUUGGAAAUAUUUGUUUAUUGGGUUAAGGCUAGUUUGACUUUGCUAUAUAAAGAACACCAAGGGGCUGGAAAUGCAAGGGCAUUUCUUUUGGCAUCUGAACUGGCAAUUGUCUGUCCACAACUAUUCAGCUGCCCAGUUUUGGAUGGGAAUGCCUACAGCUGUGAUUUUCCACUCAGUGAAGAUUAUUGCCCCAAAGGAAUGAAGAGUAGGCAGAUGCUCAGAGAACAAGUGAUAUGGAUCUAAGAAGAUAUUAAGACCUGCAGCUCAUGACAAACUAAAAUCUUUUGCAAACAGAAUUACAAUUAGCUGUGUUCUGAUGGGAUUUGUGAGGAUUCAGAGAAUUCUUGGUGGUUCAGACAGAGAACUUGAACUUCUCCUAAUAUGCCUCGUUUUCUGUCAGCUAUGCAGAGGCAAUGGAAAACAUUUGUCAAAACAGAUGGCAAGUUUAGCCCCCCGCCACUGAAUACAAGUGGGAAGUUCAAGGUCCAGUUAAUGGCUGCUGAGCCAAGAAACAUUUGGAAACUUAGUUUAGCAUUGAAUAGACCCCAAAGAAUACACUGUUACAAUUCCAGGAUCCGCGGCUAUGGCCAAGCUCGGAAUGCUGCGAACAGUCAUUUCGCAGCUUAUGCUUCCAGCCAGAACAAAGAACUGCUGAGGUGCACAAAAACUGAGAUGUAGCAGUUAACAUGGUUUUUAGAUUUUUUUUUUUGAAAAGACAUGUUUGACAGCUGUUUCAGACCAGCAGAACCUUUCUUUGCCCAGUGCUUCUUGAUAUUUUACUGCCACUCAGUUGCUUUUCCUACACUAAAAUAAAUAUUAUCUGAAAAGCAAUUGUGUGCAUAAAAUACACAAGGAGAUGAAAUGUGAAAAUCUCUGUUUUUUCUAUUAAAUCAUACUGGCAUGUUACACUGAAGUAAGUUUCACAGAAUCUCUGGUUUAAUUGUGGAAAUUAUGAUCUGUGGAGCUGAAAGGUUUUAAUUACCGGUGGUGUAACUACUGAAAGCAAAACAAAGUCACAGAGAUGUUUUACAUGCAUCCAGUCCAACAAAUACUGGUGUAAUUUGUGCUGAUUAAUAAUGAAAAAGGUUCUUGCUAUGAUUGAAACUAUCUGCUGUUAAAUGAGCAGAGAUUGCUUGCCUGAGUUGGAAUAAGAACACUGAGAAAGCUCCUACAAAGUGUUUGUAACAGUGAUCGGUGCUUUAUACAGACCCUAAUCAAGAUCCUAAUAAUUUAACCAUAUAAUAGAUUAGAAAAGUAGAUUUUUCUUAUGGAAUGGGUGCAGUAAGUUCAAGGUUAAACUGCAUCAUUUCUGUCUCUACCUUUGCAUCCCCUGUCCGUACAUCAGGAGCUAAGACCAGAAGUGUAGCACUUGAA
Molecule: non-coding RNA, 1755 nt
Organism: Cyanistes caeruleus (blue tit)
Lineage: Eukaryota; Metazoa; Chordata; Aves; Passeriformes; Paridae
Source: RefSeq, a predicted model, not a curated record